GAACGCUGGCGGCAGGCUCUAAACAUGCAAUUCGGGGCAAGGUAAGCCUUGUUCUUGCAUCCCGGAGCGGCGGACGGGUGAGUAAUGCUUAGGAAUCUGCCUAUUAGUGGGGGACAACAUUUCGAAAGGAAUGCUAAUACCGCAUACGUCCUACGGGAGAAAGCAGGGGAUCUUCGGACCUUGCGCUAAUAGAUGAGCCUAAGUCGGAUUAGCUAGUUGGUGGGGUAAAGGCCUACCAAGGCGACGAUCUGUAGCGGGUCUGAGAGGAUGAUCCGCCACACUGGGACUGAGACACGGCCCAGACUCCUACGGGAGGCAGCAGUGGGGAAUAUUGGACAAUGGGCGGAAGCCUGAUCCAGCCAUGCCGCGUGUGUGAAGAAGGCCUUAUGGUUGUAAAGCACUUUAAGCGAGGAGGAGGCUACUUUAGUUAAUACCUAGAGAUAGUGGACGUUACUCUCACAAUAAGCACCGGCUAACUCUGUGCCAGCACCCACGGUGAUACAGAGGGUGCAAGCGUUAAUCGGAUUUACUGUGCAUAAAACGCGCGUAGGCGGUUGAUUGAGUCCCAUGUGAAAUCCCCGAGCUUAACUUGGGAAAUGCGUUCCCUACUGGGUAGCUAUAGUGUGGGAGAGGGGGUAGAAUUCCAGGUGUAGCGG
RNAcentral lists this ribosomal RNA (656 nucleotides) under bacterium UASWS0076. Its description in RNAcentral is "bacterial SSU rRNA". It matches the Rfam family "Bacterial small subunit ribosomal RNA", at positions 31 to 681 of the family's 1533-position model. The record is from RNAcentral.